UACGGGGGGGGCAAGCGUUGUUCGGAAUUACUGGGCGUAAAGGGCUCGUAGGCGGCCAACUAAGUCAGACGUGAAAUCCCUCGGCUUAACCGGGGAACUGCAUCUGAUACUGGAUGGCUUGAGUUCGGGAGAGGGAUGCGGAAUUCCAGGUGUAGCGGUGAAAUGCGUAGAUAUCAGGAGGAACACCGGUGGCGAAGGCGGGUCUCUGGGCCGAUACUGACGCUGAGGAGCGAAAGCCAGGGGAGCAAACGGG
This 253-nucleotide ribosomal RNA is filed under the name uncultured bacterium. RNAcentral describes it as "partial 16S ribosomal RNA". It matches the Rfam family "Bacterial small subunit ribosomal RNA", at positions 524 to 776 of the family's 1533-position model. The record is from RNAcentral.